UACGGGGGGGGCAAGCGUUGUUCGGAUUUACUGGGCGUAAAGGGCGCGUAGGCGGCUUAACAAGUCACUUGUGAAAUCUCCGGGCUUAACUCGGAACGGCCAAGUGAAACUGUCAAGCUAGAGUGCAGAAGGGGCAAUCGGAAUUCUUGGUGUAGCGGUGAAAUGCGUAGAUAUCAAGAGGAACGCCUGAGGUGAAGACGGGUUGCUGGGCUGACACUGACGCUGAGGCGCGAAAGCCAGGGGAGCAAACGGG
Molecule: ribosomal RNA, 253 nt
Filed under: uncultured bacterium
Lineage: Bacteria
Description: partial 16S ribosomal RNA
Rfam family: Bacterial small subunit ribosomal RNA
Source: RNAcentral